AUUGAACGCUGGCGGCAGGCCUAACACAUGCAAGUCGAGCGGAUGAAGGGAGCUUGCUCCUGGAUUCAGCGGCGGACGGGUGAGUAAUGCCUAGGAAUCUGCCUGGUAGUGGGGGAUAACGUCCGGAAACGGGCGCUAAUACCGCAUACGUCCUGAGGGAGAAAGUGGGGGAUCUUCGGACCUCACGCUAUCAGAUGAGCCUAGGUCGGAUUAGCUAGUUGGUGGGGUAAAGGCCUACCAAGGCGACGAUCCGUAACUGGUCUGAGAGGAUGAUCAGUCACACUGGAACUGAGACACGGUCCAGACUCCUACGGGAGGCAGCAGUGGGGAAUAUUGGACAAUGGGCGAAAGCCUGAUCCAGCCAUGCCGCGUGUGUGAAGAAGGUCUUCGGAUUGUAAAGCACUUUAAGUUGGGAGGAAGGGCAGUAAGUUAAUACCUGGCUGUUUUGACGUGACCAACAGAAUAAGCACCGGCGAACUUCGU
This 483-nucleotide ribosomal RNA is filed under the name uncultured bacterium. RNAcentral describes it as "partial 16S ribosomal RNA". It matches the Rfam family "Bacterial small subunit ribosomal RNA", at positions 30 to 506 of the family's 1533-position model. The record is from RNAcentral.